RNAcentral lists this long non-coding RNA (878 nucleotides) under Eucalyptus grandis. RNAcentral describes it as "long non-coding RNA (EGRA_LNC004309)". The record is from RNAcentral. Lineage: Eukaryota; Viridiplantae; Streptophyta; Magnoliopsida; Myrtales; Myrtaceae.
CCAUAUGAAUUCUUCCAAUGCCAUUGCACUUUGUGUCAAGACUUCCAUAAGAUCUAAGUGGUCCACAUCUUUUCUUAUAAUCUCCUUCCUACGUCUUCCCUCUUCCCAUUUAACUGGAGUCUUCAUCUCAUACCCACAUCUCCUCACUGGAGCAUCUGAAGGCUUCCCGUUUCAAACAUAUAAGCCUUGUCUAGGUUGUCUCUUCCUCUCCUCCUGAGCAUGAACAAGAUAAUGCAAACUACUCUUGUAGCAGGCGUGCCACAUAUUCCAUGUCUUUCAGUGAACAUCUCUUUCCACCAAUGUUGGUAGGUACUUAAGGUUAAAGCUGCAUUCACGAGGGAAGAAAUAUUCAAGAAUGUUUUGCUCUCCUUUAAACAGCUUAUGAGAAAUGAACCUAUUAGGGAUAGAACAUUGCAUAAAGGGGACUAUAUCAACCAAAAUCAAACAUUUAAAGUACAAUUCAUUACAGCAAAUAAGUAAUCAUGACUCCCAAACCAGGGUCCAUAAACCCCGAUGGAAUUACUCUUGUAUUGAGCUUACUAAAAGAGCACACCUCAACGGCAUAAGGACUAAAGACUUUCAGAAUUAUAAGAAAACAUCAUAUAUAUUGGCCAUCAGGUUAAAGAAACAAAAGAGACAGCAAAAUGGGGGCUUCUUCUUUGCACUUAUCCGGUAAAAUGCAACCAAGUAAGCACGUCACUGAAAGACAUUUUGUUUUCACAUGUUCUACUCAGAUUUCCAAAACAUCAAGCCCAACUAACUACAAAACAACAACGAGUGUCAGACAAGCACCACGAAAAACAUAAGACUCUAAGCAAUGUUUCUAUUUCGAAGAUUAAAAGAAAAGACAAGGCAGAGCUGCGGCAUCGCGGGCUUUG